UAGGGAAUCUUCCGCAAUGGACGAAAGUCUGACGGAGCAACGCCGCGUGAGUGAAGAAGGAUUUCGGUUCGUAAAACUCUGUUGCUAGGGAAGAAAAAAUGUAUAGUAACUAUAUACAAAAGAGACGGUACCUAACCAGAAAGCCACGGCUAACUACGUGCCAGCAGCCGCGGUAAUACGCAGGUGGCAAGCGUUGUCCGGAAUUAUUGGGCGUAAAGCGCGCGCAGGUGGUUUAGAAAGUCUGAUGUGAAAGACCACGGCUCAACCGUGGAGGGUCAUUGGAAACUAAUAAACUUGAGUGCAGGAGAGAAAAGUGGAAUUCCUGGUGUAGCGGUGAAAUGCGUAGAGAUUAGGAGGAACACCGGUGGAGAAAGAGGCUUUUUGGCCUGAAAAUGACACUGAGGCGCGAAAGCGUGGGGAGCAAACAGG
Molecule: ribosomal RNA, 429 nt
Filed under: Verrucomicrobiota bacterium
Lineage: Bacteria; Pseudomonadati; Verrucomicrobiota
Description: Verrucomicrobia bacterium partial 16S ribosomal RNA
Rfam family: Bacterial small subunit ribosomal RNA
Source: RNAcentral